Molecule: ribosomal RNA, 253 nt
Filed under: uncultured bacterium
Lineage: Bacteria
Description: partial 16S ribosomal RNA
Rfam family: Bacterial small subunit ribosomal RNA
Source: RNAcentral
UACGUAGGGUGCAAGCGUUGUCCGGAAUCAUUGGGCGUAAAGAGCUCGUAGGCGGUUUGUUGCGUCGGCUGUGAAAUCCCGAGGCUCAACCUCGGGUCUGCAGUCGAUACGAGCAAACUGGAGUGUUGCAGGGGAGACUGGAAUUCCUGGUGUAGCGGUGAAAUGCGCAGAUAUCAGGAGGAACACCGGUGGCGAAGGCGGGUCUCUGGGCAACAACUGACGCUGAGGAGCGAAAGCGUGGGGAGCGAACAGG